GACGAACGCUGGCGGCGGGCUUAACACAUGCAAGUCGAACGGAAAGGCUCCAGCUUGCUGGAGUAUUCGAGUGGCGAACGGGUGAGUAACAUGUGGGUGAUCUGCCCUGCACUUCGGGAUAAGCCUGGGAAACUGGGACUAAUACCGGAGAGGAGCGCACUAUGGUGUGUGUGGUUGAAAGGUUUUGCUGGCGUGGGAUGAGCUCGCGGCGUAUCAGUUUGUUGGUGGGGUAAUCGGCUACCAAGACGGCGACGGGUAGCCGGCCGGAGAGGGUGGAAGGUCACAUUGGGACUGAGGUGCGGCCCAGACUGCUACGGGAGGAAGCAGGGGGGAAGAUUGAACAAUGGGGGAAGCCCUGAUGCAGAGACGCUGCGGGGGGGAUGAAGGCCUUAGGGUUGUGAACUCCUUUCACUAGGGACGAAGCUUUUUGUGACGGUACCUGGAGAAGAAGCACCGGCUAACUACGUG
This 468-nucleotide ribosomal RNA is filed under the name uncultured bacterium. Its description in RNAcentral is "partial 16S ribosomal RNA". It matches the Rfam family "Bacterial small subunit ribosomal RNA", at positions 28 to 507 of the family's 1533-position model. The record is from RNAcentral.